GGCGGCGCGGGCGGCGGGGCGCGGACGGGUACCGGCCGCCGGAGGUCCGGCGGCCGAAGGAUCCGGUGCUGUUCCGGAUCUGCGCGCUGGCC
RNAcentral lists this transfer RNA (92 nucleotides) under Kitasatospora griseola. RNAcentral describes it as "tRNA-Gly". Lineage: Bacteria; Bacillati; Actinomycetota; Actinomycetes; Kitasatosporales; Streptomycetaceae. The record is from RNAcentral.